GAUGAACGCUAGCGGGAGGCUUAAUACAUGCAAGUCGAGCGGUAACUAAUUAAUAGCAAUAUUAGUUGGCUAGAGCGGCGCACGGGUGAGUAACGCGUACAUAACCUACCCUAUACUGGGGGAGUAGCCUUGGGAAACUGAGAUUAAUACCCCACUGGUAUUGUUUGGUCCACCUGGUUGAAUAAUUAAAGUUGCGGCGGUAUAGGAUGGGUGUGCGUCUGAUUAGCUAGUUGGUAGGGUAACGGCCUACCAAGGCUAUGAUCAGUAGGGGGCGGUGAGAGCGUGGUCCCC
This 291-nucleotide ribosomal RNA is filed under the name uncultured bacterium. RNAcentral describes it as "partial 16S ribosomal RNA". It matches the Rfam family "Bacterial small subunit ribosomal RNA", at positions 28 to 308 of the family's 1533-position model. The record is from RNAcentral.